RNAcentral lists this ribosomal RNA (426 nucleotides) under uncultured eukaryote. RNAcentral's name for it is "SSU rRNA". It matches the Rfam family "Eukaryotic small subunit ribosomal RNA", at positions 13 to 433 of the family's 1831-position model. The record is from RNAcentral.
CCUGCCAGUAGUCAUAUGCUUGUCUCAAAGAUUAAGCCAUGCAAGUCUGAGUAUAAUUGGUUUACGGUGAAACUGCGAAUGGCUCAUUAAAUCAGUUAUAGUUUAUUUGAUGCUAUAGGCCGCAAGGCCACUACAUGGAUAUCUGUAGUAACAUAGAGCUAAUACAUGCAAUAUAGUCUGACUUUUUGGAAGGACUAGCACUUAUUAGAUAUUAAACCAGUCCCAGCAAUGGGUUUUAUGGUGAUUCAUAGUAACUGAACAAAUCACAUGGUCUUGUGCCGGUGAUGUUUCAUUCAAAUUUCUGCCCUAUCAACUAGAUGGUAGUAUAUAGGACUACCAUGGUUGUAACGGGUAACGGAGGAUUAGGGUUUGAUUCCGGAGAAGGAGCAUGAGAAACGGCUACUAUUUCUAAGGAAAGCAGCAGGC